This 933-nucleotide unclassified non-coding RNA is filed under the name Hevea brasiliensis (rubber tree). The record is from RNAcentral. Lineage: Eukaryota; Viridiplantae; Streptophyta; Magnoliopsida; Malpighiales; Euphorbiaceae.
UUUUUUUUUUUUUUUUCUUUUCAAUUUUUGAUAUAUAUUAUAUAGCAUCAUGGUAGUACCUUGAUCCAGUUUCAGUUUUCUUUAUCUAGCCGUGUAUUAUUAGUGUCAUACUGAAAUUUUAAGUACUUUAUGCUGAAGUGAAUCUUUUUAUUUCUCAAACACCUUGUGUUAUUAUGACUAAUAUGUUGAUUCUUAUUGCUAUAGUUAUGUCCAACUUUUACGUCAUCUCAAUUUGUGAAACUAUUGUAAUAACUUGCCAUGCUUGCGGUCCUAGUAUCUUUGUAUCUCCCUGAUCCAAAGUUCUCAUAUUGCUUUAUAACUGAUUAUUUACAAACAUUUUAUUAGUGUUUGUUGACUGGAAACAUAAGAAUUUAUUUGGAGCAGAAUUUAUCCUUUAUUUUUCGACUUUUCUUGUCUUUAUGAAAGUUAUUUUAGCAAAGAAUUUGGAGAAUCCAAUAUUCAUGAGGAAUGUUUUCCUUCAAUUUUUUUUUCAUGACAGGUGUUAUUCUUAGGCCUGGUUUCAUACAUGGGAACCGCCGUGUUGGAAAUAUGAAGUUACCUUUAAGUAUAAUUGGGGCUCCACUUGAGAUGGUAAGAAGUGUGUACUUUGUAUGAUUUUAUCUUCACUGACUGAAUCCUUCAGAUAGCAUUUUCUCAAUUUGACGUUUGACUGGAGAUCAAUCAAAUAUGACCGAUUGAUCAGGAUUAGAAUAUUAUGUUAGAUGUAAUAGAGUUUCCUACUCAUCAAGCAUAAUUAUUCCUUAUCCAUGUGAUGUAUUUUAGUUGUAAUACAAUCCGAUAUAAUCUGUUGUGCAUUUACACGUUUCACCUACUCUUCUGGCCUCAGGGUGGUAAUGGUUAUAGUACUUUUUGCAGGUACUCCAACAUGCCAAGCUACUGACCCGAAUCCCACUCAUCGGUCCUCUUUUUAUA